UGUUUCUGGAAGGCAAAAACAGACCCUUCCAGAACGAUCUCACAUACUCUCUGAGCUGCUCCCCCCCGAAACCUUUACUUUUUAACUGUUUUCCAUCUUCCCGUUGUUUGUUGGCUCUCUCUCUAGGUUUCACCAGCUUUGUUACCCUCUGAUCGUGAUCGGCCUGACCCAAUUUCUAUUGCUGCUACAUAGAAAGAGAGAAUGCCAGCUUACAUGUGGAAAAGUUUCUUUGAGGAUGAAGACAGGCCGGAAAAACCAAGAAGAUUCGGAGUUACAGAGAUGAGGGGACCCAAUUACAGUCUCAUGAACCAAAACGUUAUUCAGGAUAUUUUAGAGUCUAUGGGGCAGUUUGUUGAUGGCUUGAAGUUUUCUGAGGGCUCGCACAGUUUAAUGGCAAAGAAUGCGAUUAAAAAAAUAACUGAGCUGGCACACAGCCACGAUGUUUAUGUGAGUACUGGUGAUUGGGCAGAACACAUACUUCGCAAGGGACCCACAGCUUUUGAAGAGUAUGUUCACGAAUGCAAGAAUUUGGGGUUUGACACAGUGGAGCUAAAUGCUGGUUCUCUGAGAAUAUCUGAGGAGCAUCUCUGGAGAUUUAUCCGAUUGAUUAAAAAAGCGGGUCUCAAAGCUAAGCCCAACUUUGGAGUGAGAUUUGAGGCUUCAGAUAUUCCGGUUGCUGGUGAUAGAGCAUAUGGAGCUUAUAUCCUUCCAGUUUCCCGGAAGUUGGACUUAGUUGAAGAUGUGGAUCUAUUGAUAAGAAGGGCUGAGAGGUGCUUGGAAGCAGGGGCAGAUAUGAUAAUGAUUGAUGCUGAUGGUGUGAGCAAAUACGCAGACUCUCUUAGGGCUGAUCUUGUUGCCAAGAUUGUAGGGCGCCUAGGCCUCGAGAAAACCAUGUUCGAAGCAUCCACCCCUGAGACCUCUGAAUGGUUCAUAAAGCGCUAUGGACCAAAGGUGAAGAGUUUUUUUUAGGAAUGGAUCAGCUUGGGUUUCUCAAGUUCCAAAAACGUGGGGGUGUAACAUGCGCUAAAUUUGGAUGAAAAUCUGAACUCCAAAGUAUAUUAAUGGAAAACCUUCAAUGCAUAGUGCUUAUCAUUGUCCAACCAAAAGAGAUAAAGGAGGUUUUUCAGCCAUCUACAUAUGCGAAUCAUCUAUUAAAUUAAACCCGGGUACUUGGAUUCAGCAGCAGUUGUGCAUGCUGUGCUGAGACAGUAAGGCUUUAUUGGAAUGGAGGAUCAGUAUGCCCCUAUUGAAUGAUGAGUCAUGUAUUAAUGGAAAAAUAGGAUUUGAAUGGAAGCGAAAAGCAAAGAAUCAUUUAUCAAUUGUUCCAGAUAUAACCCUAUUGCCCAAAUUUUUGGAGGCAGUGUAGUCAUAUAUCAGUGGGAAGGUGAACCUCUUUGUUGAUCAUUCUCAGGUGAUGAAGCUGGAGUGUCUAAGAGGAGGUAACUUGGGCAAGAAUCACACAUCACUGCUUGGUUC
This is an RNA transcript of Amborella trichopoda, 1476 nucleotides long. It is a transcript of the gene named Aldolase-type TIM barrel family protein, with no coding region annotated. NCBI's taxonomy places the organism in Eukaryota, Viridiplantae, Streptophyta, Magnoliopsida, Amborellales, Amborellaceae. The record is from RefSeq and is a predicted model, not a curated record.